GACAGAGGUGCCAAGCGUUAGGCGGAAUCACUGGGCUUAAAGCGUGUGUAGGCGGAAUGGUAAGUACCUUGUGAAAUCCCACGGCUCAACCGUGGAACUGCUUGGUAUACUGCUUUUCUUGAGCCACUUAGGGGCAACCGGAACAAACGGUGGAGCGGUGAAAUGCGUAGAUAUCGUGAGGAACACCAGAGGCGAAGGCGGCUACCUGGACAAUUGCUGACGCUCAGGCACGAAAGCGUGGGGAGCAAAAGGG
RNAcentral lists this ribosomal RNA (253 nucleotides) under uncultured bacterium. RNAcentral's name for it is "partial 16S ribosomal RNA". It matches the Rfam family "Bacterial small subunit ribosomal RNA", at positions 524 to 776 of the family's 1533-position model. The record is from RNAcentral.